Molecule: ribosomal RNA, 467 nt
Filed under: uncultured bacterium
Lineage: Bacteria
Description: partial 16S ribosomal RNA
Rfam family: Bacterial small subunit ribosomal RNA
Source: RNAcentral
GACGAACGCUGGCGGCGUGCUUAACACAUGCAAGUCGAACGGAAAGGCCCUGCUUUUGUGGGGUGCUCGAGUGGCGAACGGGUGAGUAACACGUGAGUAACCUGCCCUUGACUUUGGGAUAACUUCAGGAAACUGGGGCUAAUACCGGAUAGGAGCUCCUGCUGCAUGGUGGGGGUUGGAAAGUUUCGGCGGUUGGGGAUGGACUCGCGGCUUAUCAGCUUGUUGGUGGGGUAGUGGCUUACCAAGGCUUUGACGGGUAGCCGGCCUGAGAGGGUGACCGGCCACAUUGGGACUGAGAUACGGCCCAGACUCCUACGGGGGGCAGCAGUGGGGAAUAUUGCACAAUGGGCGGAAGCCUGAUGCAGCAACGCCGCGUGCGGGAUGAGGCCUUCGGGCUGUACACCGCUUUCGCCUGUGACGAAGCGUGAGUGACGGUAAUGGGUAAAGAAGCACCGGCUAACUACGUG